CCUGGUUUUCACAGCAGUGUCUUUGCACCUUGUCCUAAGUUGCCUAAAUCUGUUUAAAAAACCUCAGAAGGCUGUUUCAGGUUCUGAUGCAUGGUGUGGAGCAGCUGGUGAGUACCCUGUGCUGUGGUACAUUGAGCAAAAAGCACUUGUGGAGGGCUUUGGCACAACCUGGAAACCAAACUGGGGAGACACUGACCAAAGCAUUUGCUGUGCUGGUGUACUGGUGGCAGAGGUGUGCACACUCUUCCCAGAAAGGAGAAGACACUGAAGGUUAAACAUUGAAAAAGUUCCAGGUGGAAGCUUGGUUUUCACAGCAGUGCCUUUGCACCUUGGCCAAAGUUGCCUAAAUCUGUUAAAAAACCUCAGAAGGCUGUUUCAGGUUCUGGUGCAUGGUGUGGAGCAGCUGCUGAGUGCCCUGCACGUGCUGGGGUGCAUUCAGCUGCACCCUGACAGCAAAAAGCACUUCCUUGUGGAGGGCUGUGGCACAACCUGGAAACCCAAACUGGGGAGAUCCUGACCAAGCCAUUUACUGUGCUGGUGCAGUGCCAGUGCCCAGAGAAACAUCCCAGUUAGAGGAGCAGAGCAGGAAUUGGCAGUGCAGGGUGGCAGCCUUGCAGUCUGCAGGAUUUACAUGCAGAGGUUUAACACCAUUCUGCUCAGGAAUGUCUGUGCUGGGCUUCUGCAGCCAUGAUAAUGAAAAAAUCAGCUGUGGAAUUAAAGAAUCAACUGUAAUCAAGCCUUUGAGUUCUGAGGUGCAUCCAAGAGGGGAAGCUGGAGAUGACUGCCCAAAUGUCUCAGGCCUGAACUUAAAGCAGUGCUCCUGGACCCAUGGGCCAGCCCUAAGGCAGAAUCACAGAAUUUUCCUUAAUGGGAGCCUUGACUGAUGGGAAAAGGGAAGAAAAUUCCAGAAUCAAAUGAAAAGAAGUGGAAGGAAGGAGCAGAAUUAUCAAUUCGAAGGCGUAACUGACAGAGCUUUCCAGAAUGGAAUGUUUGUGCUUUACUCUUUGAGGCACAGACUCUGACGUGUAGAAGCAAUAUAUUUAACAAAGAAUGUAAGUACACAUGAAGAAUUAGCACACAGUUGACAUCUCUGGCUGUAGGAGGAGCCACUGUGUCUGGAAGGUUGAGCUCUAAGUGCAGUAAAAUAUCAGAGAUUAACAGCCUGUCUCCAACAGAUUAUUGAGAUGGAAUAAAUCCUGUACAUAUCAGAUCA
This 1213-nucleotide long non-coding RNA is filed under the name Serinus canaria (Common canary). RNAcentral describes it as "lncRNA (ENSSCAG00000003543.1)". The record is from RNAcentral. Lineage: Eukaryota; Metazoa; Chordata; Aves; Passeriformes; Fringillidae.